Molecule: unclassified non-coding RNA, 373 nt
Filed under: soil metagenome
Description: partial contains 5.8S ribosomal RNA, internal transcribed spacer 2, and large subunit ribosomal RNA
Rfam family: 5.8S ribosomal RNA (bases 1-121)
Source: RNAcentral
GAUGAAGAACGUAGCGAAAUGCGAUAAGUAAUGCGAAUUGCAGAAUUCCAGUGAGUCAUCGAAUCUUUGAACGCACAUUGCGCCCUUUGGUAUUCCGAAGGGCAUGCCUGUUCGAGCGUCAUUAUCACCCCUCAAGCCCUCGGCUUGGUGUUGGACGGUUUGGUGGAGGUCCCCUCGGGGGUUCCUGCCCCUCCCAAAGACAAUGACGGCGGCCUCGUUGGACCCCCGGUACACUGAGUUCUUCACGGGACACGUAUCGGACACAUGGGUUUACGGGACACGGUCUGCCUCCCCUCAGGGAGAAUCUUUCUAAGGUUGACCUCGGAUCAGGUAGGGAUACCCGCUGAACUUAAGCAUAUCAAUAAGCGGAGGA